UUACAAAGACCGUGAACAUGUCAUCCAUCCCGCACGUGGUUCUACCUGUGCAAGGCCCCCGACCUUUCCGAAGGAGAGGGGCCGCAAAAGAACCCACGGCGCCGAAGGCGUCAAGGAAAACUGAUAUUGCCUUGCUCGGGGCUGUGCUCGGCUUGCCCAGCACACCUCGUGCAGCGAUGCUAUCUUAAUCCACACGACUCUCGGCAACGGAUAUCUCGGCUCUCGCAUCGAUGAACAACGUACCAAAAUGCGAUACCUGGUGUGAAUUGCAGAAUCCCGCGAACCAUCUAGUUUUUGAACGCAAGUUGCGCCCGAGGCCUUCUGGUUGAGGGCACGCCUGCCUGGGCGUCACGCCAAAAGACACUCCCAACCCAAACCUGGGGAAGGACGUGGUGUUUGGCUCCCCGUGCUGCAAGGCGCGGUGGGCCGAAGUUUGGGCUGCCGGCAUAACUUGUCGGGCACCGCACGUGGUGGGCGACAUCUAGUUGUUCUCGGUGCAGUGUCUUGGCAUGCAGCUGGCUUAUUGGCCUCAAGGACCCAUACACGACCGAAGCGUUUAGGCGCUCGGACCGCGACCCCAGGUCAGACGGGACUACCCGCUGAGUUUAAGCAUAUCAAAAGGCGGAGGAA
RNAcentral lists this ribosomal RNA (630 nucleotides) under Setaria italica (foxtail millet). RNAcentral's name for it is "eukaryotic LSU rRNA". The stretch from base 196 to 351 matches the Rfam family "5.8S ribosomal RNA". Lineage: Eukaryota; Viridiplantae; Streptophyta; Magnoliopsida; Poales; Poaceae. The record is from RNAcentral.